RNAcentral lists this ribosomal RNA (437 nucleotides) under uncultured bacterium. RNAcentral's name for it is "bacterial SSU rRNA". It matches the Rfam family "Bacterial small subunit ribosomal RNA", at positions 83 to 503 of the family's 1533-position model. The record is from RNAcentral.
UGCACCCCCUAAGCGGCGGACUGGUGAGUAACGCGUGGGUGAUCUACCUUGAGUGAUGGGGAUAACCGCUAGAAAUAGCGGGUAAUACCGAAUAUGGUUAUCUGGCUGUGGCUGGGUAAAGAAAGGCGCUUCGGCGCCGUCUUGAGAUGAGCCCGCGUCCCAUUAGCUUGUUGGCGGUGUAACGGACCACCAAGGCGAAGAUGGGUAGCCUGGCCUGAGAGGGUGAACGGCACAUUGGGACUGAGAUACGGCCCAAACUCCUACGGGAGGCAGCAGCUAAGAAUAUUCCGCAAUGGACGAAAGUCUGACGUGAGCGACGCCGCGUGGAUGAGGAAGAGCCGAAAGGUUGUAAAAUCCUUAUUGUCGAUGAAGAAUAAUCACAGUAGGGAAUGAUUGUGAGGAUGACGUUACGUCGGCGAAUAAGCCCCGGCUAAUUA